This is a long non-coding RNA of Passer domesticus (house sparrow), 1264 nucleotides long. RefSeq lists it as uncharacterized. The transcript has 4 exons. NCBI's taxonomy places the organism in Eukaryota, Metazoa, Chordata, Aves, Passeriformes, Passeridae. The record is from RefSeq and is a predicted model, not a curated record.
GGAGAGCCUUUACUUUUCCAUUGCCAUGGGCUUUGCACCCUCCCAAAACCACAGGAAUGAUGUCAUAAAUGGCACAAGAGUCAGUUCCUGUGUUCUAAGGGAGAAGGAUCCAGCUCACAGAACCUUCCCAUACUGAGAUGAGAUCUCCUCCUGAUUCAGAGUGGUUGGUACUGGGCUGAGUAACUUUCCAGAGCGCCAUAAAGCACAGACCUGCUGUGAUCUCAUUCAGCUACUCAACAACCAGUUGUCACCAAAUUGGAUUUAUUCCUCAUUGUUUCUUAUCCUUUGCUGAAAAUUACUUUUGCUUUAAUUUUCUACACAGUUUUCUUAAGUAAGAACAUCAGUAUCCCUCAAAGAAGUUCACAGUGCCAGUUUCUAGCAAGUGUAUACCUGAAUUUCUGCUCACAAGAUAAACUAUCAAAAAUACCCACAGUCACAGAACCUUUCCAGCUGAAGACACUACUGGGUAAUCCCCUCUCUAGGGUUGUGGCUGUAAGCUUCAUUCAACUUUAGGUGGUGAUUGUCCAGAGAUUUUAAUCUUUUUAAGGGUCUGUGCUAUGAAAUCACUGCAAAGUGCUUAUGAGUCACAGCUGAAAAGGGAAUUUGAGCUGGAGCAGUAGAAGCUGGAAAACCUGCAGGCAGAAAGCAACAGCACAAACUCCUAGACUGACUGUGAUGUGUUAGAAGGAAAGAGACUGUCCUGGUCAUCAUUCCUGGAGCAGAGCCUUUGUUUUAAACAGGAGAAGUUUCACUGUGAGAUCUCCUCCAGGCUCUCCUCAUCUCCAGCCACACCUGCCUCUGGAGGAUUCAUUCCCUGGAUAACACCCUGUCCCCAGCCCUGGGCUGAGGGGUGCUGCUGAUGGUAGAGACUGAAAAGAAAGAGCAUUUCUAGUAGAGCCCACCAAGGAGAAUCUGUGAAAAAUCAGUAGCAGAAAGAACCACAAGGAAGGAAUCUCGUGUCAGUUCAUCAUGAGUACCUCUAUAGACAGAAAAAUACACUCUCAAAAGCUGGAAGUAAAUCACUGGAAAAUCAGCCUUCCUUUGAGAUGAACCAUCUAGAAACAGGGAGAAAACACUGAACACUUUGUCAAAUGUGGAGAACAUAUUUCAGCACUGGAAGGAAUCUUAUGCUUGUUGUGGAAGUAGAGACCAAGAAUUCAAUGCAUGAAAGGGCAACAUGAGGACACAGCACCAUCAGAGGGGUUUGAAGAUAAAUAGCAGCAAUACUACAGCUGUAUGAAACUGUCAUAAGCAAUAUUCCCAU